AUUGAACGCUGGCGGCAUGCUUUACACAUGCAAGUCGAACGGUAGAGGGGGCAACCCCUUGAGAGUGGCGAACGGGUGAGUAAUGCAUCGGAACGUGCCCAGUCGUGGGGGAUAACGCAGCGAAAGCUGUGCUAAUACCGCAUACGAUCUCUGGAUGAAAGCGGGGGACCGAAAGGCCUCGCGCGAUUGGAGCGGCCGAUGUCAGAUUAGGUAGUUGGUGGGGUAAAGGCUCACCAAGCCAACGAUCUGUAGCUGGUCUGAGAGGACGUCCAGCCACACUGGGAGUGGGACACGGCCCAGGCUCCGACGGGAGGCAGCAGUGGGGAAUUUUGGACAAUGGGCGCAAGCCUGAUCCAGCAAUGCCGCGUGCAGGAAGAAGGCCUUCGGGUUGUAAACUGCUUUUGUACGGAACGAAAAGGUCUGGGUUAAUACCCUGGGCACAUGACGGUACCGUAAGAAUAAGCACCGGCUAACUACGUGCCAGCCGCCGCGGUAA
Molecule: ribosomal RNA, 496 nt
Filed under: uncultured bacterium
Lineage: Bacteria
Description: partial 16S ribosomal RNA
Rfam family: Bacterial small subunit ribosomal RNA
Source: RNAcentral